UAUCGGUCAUCACCAUGGGAAGGACAUGCUUGAGUUCUUUCUGGGAUAAAGAAGGAAGUUGAGAGAUAUCUGGAAUGCAGCUCUGCUGCCUAGUCUCCUUGUCUCCCAGCCAAGCCUAUGCUACAGUGAAGCCCCGCUCUGAACUAAGGAACAAACUUCCCGGUGGCUGAACUUUUCCUUCAGGAUCUUAUCUUCCUUCUUCAUGAUCAAAGUAUGAAUGGGGAUUUUUAGCCACAGGAUCUGAGGUUGUUAGGUGAUAUCUCAAAUAAACGUGGAGCUCAGGAAUGGAAAGAUUGUGGAGAGAUCAAAACCAGAGUUGGCAUUUAUUUUGCUUCAGCCUUCGGGCUCCUUGAGAUGCCAGGCUCAGGAGCACAGCACUGUGAUCGUCUGAGCUGAGCCGCACUGCAGGUGUGCUUUUGUCUGCACAGGAAGAUCCAGGGCAGUCCACAGCCAGAGCUGAGCUGGGUACAGAGGUCUGCUAUCCGGAAGCCGUGUGGCACUGUGAGCUUUUUAGGCAGGGAGAAAACUGGCUUUUGAUGGCCCCUGGAGCCUAGGCAAUCUGGCCUCUCCCUUUCAGCGGAAUCCCCCCAGUCUGCUGUCUAACUACUGGCAGUCUACAGGGACAGGACGGCCCUACCCUCCUUCCGCUCUGCGAAUUUGGAGAUGAAGCCACCACGGAGUGUUCUGAGGCUGAAGCUCCUCUCUCCUAAAUAAAAUGAGGAC
Molecule: long non-coding RNA, 723 nt
Organism: Chinchilla lanigera (long-tailed chinchilla)
Lineage: Eukaryota; Metazoa; Chordata; Mammalia; Rodentia; Chinchillidae
Exons: 4
Source: RefSeq, a predicted model, not a curated record